Molecule: ribosomal RNA, 433 nt
Filed under: uncultured bacterium
Lineage: Bacteria
Description: partial 16S ribosomal RNA
Rfam family: Bacterial small subunit ribosomal RNA
Source: RNAcentral
AACGAACGCUGGCGGCAUGCCUAACACAUGCAAGUCGAACGAGACCUUCGGGUCUAGUGGCGCACGGGUGCGUAACGCGUGGGAACCUGCCCUUAGGUUCGGAAUAACUCCCCGAAAGGGGUGCUAAUACCGGAUAAUGUCUUCGGACCAAAGAUUUAUCGCCUUUGGAUGGGCCCGCGUUGGAUUAGCUAGUUGGUAGGGUAAAAGCCUACCAAGGCGACGAUCCAUAGCUGGUCUGAGAGGAUGAUCAGCCACACUGGGACUGAGACCCGGCCCAGACCCCUACGGGAGGCAGCAGUGGGGAAUAUUGGACAAUGGGCGAAAGCCUGAUCCAGCAAUGCCGCGUGAGUGAUGAAGGCCUUAGGGUUGUAAAGCUCUUUUACCCGGGAUGAUAAUGACAGUACCGGGAGAAUAAGCUCCGGCUAACUCCGUG